Molecule: transfer RNA, 88 nt
Filed under: Actinoplanes sp. L3-i22
Lineage: Bacteria; Bacillati; Actinomycetota; Actinomycetes; Micromonosporales; Micromonosporaceae
Description: tRNA-Ser
Source: RNAcentral
GCUGGCCUGGCGGGACUGGCGCCGCCCGGCGUUGCUGCCGGUGGCCGGUUUCGCGGCCGCCCUCGGCGUGCUGGUCGCCGCGCCGGCC